CACAGGUGGGUGAUGAAAGACUCCGCCCUUGCCACUCUGACUCUGGAAGAGGGGGAACUAAGGAAACUAAGCUUCUUUAGCAACAGUUUCUGCCCGGACAGUUGGUCGACCCGACAGACAGAGUCGGAAGGAGACGGACACAAGUUUCCGUUAGCUGUUCUCCUCUGGGUCAACUAGCGUUUUGGCAGAGAAAUUCAUCCAUGAGCCAAAGGACGUAUCUCUCGGUUGGACCACAUCAACUCCUGGAUAUGUACGCAGGUGCUGGAGUACACGCCUAGAGGGUUCAGCUGAGUGGACGGUCCGAACGGAUUUUCCAACUAACUGAGAGACCCUGCAUAC
Austrofundulus limnaeus is the source of this 339-nucleotide long non-coding RNA. RefSeq lists it as uncharacterized. The record is from RefSeq and is a predicted model, not a curated record. The transcript is spliced from 3 exons. NCBI's taxonomy places the organism in Eukaryota, Metazoa, Chordata, Actinopteri, Cyprinodontiformes, Rivulidae.